GUGUGUGCGAGGGCGAACGAGUCUGGUGUGCGUGUGCGCAAAUGUGAAUUAUUGAUGAGGACGCAGCCUCAGAAUGUCCUGCCGGGGCCGUCCUGUGAGUGUGUGAGGUUGAAAGGGUGAGAGUGUGUGUUUGCUUGUUAGUAGAGAUGGGGGAUAAGAGUACAGUGCACCAGCAAAAACAGCCUCCUUACGAUGGACUGUGCAACUACGCCCAAAAAAUUACCUCCUGCUUCGGACUUGAUGUGGCCCAUACACAGGAAGCUCACCACCAGACGGAGAAGCCUCUGAUACGCUGUGCUAAAUGUGGAGAGGUGUGCAAGGGAGAGGUGUUACGAGUGCAGGCCAAACACUUCCACAUCAAGUGCUUCACAUGCAAAGUAUGUGGCUGCGAUCUGGCUCAGGGAGGAUUCUUCAUGAAGAAUGGAGAAUAUAUGUGCACUCUGGACUACCAGCGCAUCCACGGCACCCGCUGUAACAUCUGCGGAGAGUUUGUGGAGGGGGAGGUGGUGACCGCGCUCGGAAAGACCUACCACCCAGCAUGCUUUGUGUGCACAAUCUGCAAGAGACCAUUUCCCGCUGGAGACAGAGUGACGUUCAAUGGCAAGGACUGUUUGUGUCAGUACUGCGCAGAGCCCAUGUCUCCAGGACCCACCAAAGAUGUCGUCGGACCCAGCAGUUGUGCAGGCUGUGGCAGAGAUAUUAAGAAUGGUCAGGCUCUGUUGGCUCUCGAGAGUCAGUGGCAUUUGGGCUGUUUUAAAUGUAAGGCCUGUGCCAAAGUAUUGACUGGGGAAUAUAUCAGCAAAGACGGCGCCCCCUACUGUGAGCAAGAUUAUCAGGUCCUGUUUGGAGUGCAAUGUGAGGCAUGUCAGCAGUUCAUCACGGGGAAAGUUCUGGAGGCAGGGGACAAGCACUACCACCCCAGCUGUGCUCGCUGUAGCAGGUGUAAUCAGAUGUUUACAGAAGGAGAGGAGAUGUUCCUGCAAGGAUCAACAGUUUGGCAUCCAAGCUGUAAACAUUCGCCAAAGGGCGAGGAGAGACAGCGGCUAUUGCCUGCAUCUCUAGCUCUCCUCAGCAAAACAGAAAGGCAGCCGACGCGCUCGUCGUCCGAGAGUAUAUGUUCCAGACCUGGUUCAAGCAUACCUAGCUCACCGGGUCACACCAUAUAUGCAAAAGUAGACAAUGAGAUCCUUGAUUACAGGGAUUUAGCAGCCAUUCCCAAGGUCAAAGCCAUUUAUGACAUUGAGCGUCCAGAUUUAAUCCACUAUGAGCCACUUUACACCACCACACUGGAUGAGUCAGAGGAGAGAGAGAGUGUGGGAGAGCUGCAGAGUUCCAGGAGAGAGUGUUCACCCAUGCCAGAGGACAGAACCAGGUCACCCACACCAAUUGCUGAGGGUUACUAUGACAUGAGAGAACGAAUCCUCCACAGAUCGACGAGUCAGGGCUCCAUCGGCUCGCCCAUUUACAGCCGCCACAGUUACACACCCACCAUGUCACGCUCACCACAGCAUUUCCACAGACCCGGCACUGAGCCGUCCAGUGGUCGAAGUUCCCCAGGGUCCAGCACCCCUCCUCUCCCCUUGACCCCUAAACAUUUUCACCUGCCAGAUCAAGGAGUAAACAUCUACAGAAAACCCCCUAUCUACAAACAGCAUGCCCAGAGCAAGUCUGCUGAUGACAUCAUCAAAUCGGCCAAAUUUCCCUCAGCGUACGCCCCUGGUCCAGACUACCCAGCAGUGAUACAGACAGACUGCUGGUCCUUCCCGAUCUCCCAUGCUGCCCUAGGAACAGACGGGAGGAGAAGGUCAAGAGAGGAAGAUGAGGAGGAGCUUCAGAAACGCAGACAGAUUCAGGAGGAACAUCUCAACAAGAUCCAAUCUGGUUUGGGGAAAAUGAUCCUUAAGGAGGAGAUGGAGAAAGAGAAGAUCCGAGAGCGUCAUGCACGGAGCCUGUCGGCACAACGCUACGAGCAUGGAAGCAGUAAUGCUCCUCAAUCAAAAUUCACCCUCUAAAACAGGCUCACUGCCUGGAUACGGGCGAAAUGGACUGCAUCGGCCUCAGUCGACUGAUUUCACACAGUAUAACAGUUAUGGGGACGUGUGCGGUGGGAUGAGAGGUUAGUUUAUCUGUCUUUUAAUUUAAUUGAACUUAAUAUAUAAUGAGAGCAAAUAAUAGUCAAAUAUGUAUUGGUCUAUGGAUUAUGGAAGUAGUAUAAAUGCAUGUGGAAAAGUUUUCUCAUAUUGGCUAUUUUAAUGAAUGAAAAUAAAAACAAAUCUUUUUUUUAUUUUCUUCUUAACAGAGUUUCAGGUACGUAGAUAUUAUUACCUUUUUGAAUCUCACUUUGUUUCCAUUUAUCCUUAUUGCUUUCCUAUUAUAAAUAAUAUGUAAUAUUCUUUAAAAUAAUGUCUUCAACAUGCUCAUAGCCUACUCCUUCAAACUACAUAAUGUAAAUUAAAAAUUAAAAGAUAAAGUUGUCAUGGCUCAUUAAAGUAGCUAGCUUCAUGUUUUCUCUCUGUCUAUGAUUUGUUUCUAGCCCAUGCAUGAUGGCCACCGUACAGCCACCAGAAUGGACAGAGGAGUGUCUAUGCCUAAUAUGCUGGAACCAAAAGCAAGUGUAACAUUAAACUAGCAAACAUUAUCUGAUACUGAAUAUGAGUUCAACAAUUAGGCUGCUUAGCAUCCAGAUCUACUUGGAUGUAAUGUAACUAUAUAGCCAGAUUUAAGGCCCGUUCAGACCAAGGACAAUAACUGCAGCUAUAAAUGUAUAGACUUAUGUAGCUCCGCCCCUUUUCAGCACUGUGCUCCAAUUCUGUCUUCUGGUUUGUAUUUCCACAGCAUGAAGGUAAGAUCUUAUGGAUUUAUGAAUGAACUGCUCGUUUUAAUAUCUUUCCGGUCUACUGCCACAACUAUUAAGGCACAGAGAAAUUAUAUCGUCGGAAUCACUUUCAGAACGAUUUUUUCCACCUGAAGAACAAUAAAAACAUGACAGCCAAUCAGAAUCCAUCCUGCUUCAAAAAGCUUGAGCAUUUAAAGCGGCAGACAACAAAACUUCAGCACGUUGUUAUAAUAAAAAUGAACACAAUGAUAUUGAGUUAUAAAGAGUUUGUGCAUUUAUUUACUGAUUGAUAUGCUUCAUUUAAAGGUAUAUCCAUAUGAAAUGCUCAAGGUAACCAGCCGCAGUCGCUCCAAACUGCCCAGAGAUGUGGACAGAACCCGACUAGAGCGCCACUUGGCUCCAGAGAUGUUCUUUGAAAUAUUUGGGAUGGAAAUUAAGGAAUUCGACAGGUUACCUCUGUGGAAACGCAAUGAACUAAAGAAGAAAGCCAAACUCUUCUAACCAGGAUAUACAUCAUCUACUCACAAAUAUUGUAUCAUACAGCUGUUUACUAAUCUUCUCGUUAAAGCUAUAGCCAGAAGAAAGUUCCAUGCUGCAAUAUUAUCAUAUGAUGUCAGUUUGUAAUAAACAGAGGGUCCAAACAUUUCAGAUAUUUCUCCAAAAUUCACACUUUAUUUUUUGUGUCUCUGUUGCUUUAAUUUUCCCUCUUCCAGAAAUGAGUCUUUCUCUUUUUGUUCUUGUUGCAUAUCUUGGCAAAUCAUGUUCAUGCAGGUCUGAUAAUCUGAACCUUUACAGAUUUACAGUUAUAAUCCAUUUAAUUCAGUGUUCCAGUAAAGACUCCUAUGUUUGCGUCACUUUUGGUUCAGGGAGGGAUUGUAGAUGCUACACUGUGUGGGUGUCUGUGUCUUUGUACCUGUUCAUGUAAGUUUUGAAUGCAUUGAAAGAAACGUAAUCUAUAGUAGCACAUAUCCAUGUAUUCACCCUUUAUUACUGUACCAGCCUCCAAAACAUCUGUAAAAUUAAAGGUGAAAUGUAUAAUUUCUGUGCCAAUAGCAGCACCAAACAGAACUGAAAAAAAUAUUGACUGCUGUCAAACACUCUAGUUAUCAUUCCCAGCUAUCAGGGAAUGUUCUCAGAACUUUGGCAAGGUUCUCUCAAAGUUAUGAACAAAUGUUCUUCUGAUAACAUUAAUAGAAUUAAGUUAUCUGGUCUUUAGUAACACUAUUAAAACAUUAGCACAAAAAAAUGUUAUUUAAACAUCAUUCAUGGACCUUUUUUCUGAAACAUUUUCGUUGGACGUUAAUCUGUUUUUUAAACAUUGUUACUUACUACUUUUUUCAGAUGCUUCAUACUUGCAAAAUGAUAAAACAGAAAACAUUCCUUUAAUGUUUUCUUUAACAUUCAUGUUUUUUUUAAACGUUUAUAAAUCAAAACGUUCUGAGAGCAUUCAGAAAUAACGUUUUCAUAACAUAACAGGAACAUUAGCAAACGUUCUUACCUUAACUUUUUCAUUUGAUACCACUAGUGGUGCAGAAAUUACACACUUCAUCUUUAAGCUUUCUGAAACUGUUGAAUCAAUGCUGAUGUCCCUAGUAUAUUGUAUAUUUAAAUAAUAGAAUACAAAGUUAAGGUAAAAAUGAACUGCAUUUGACUUUUUUUUUUAAAGAGCUGAUACUCACACUGCCAAUUUAUUAUAUUUCAAUUGUAUUUCUACAGUAAAGGACAAUAUUUCAAUGUGCAACUCUCAGUAAAACCAAAUGCAUUACAAGAGAAAGGGCUCUGUAUGAGCUGUAAUCUACAGCUAUUUUUUUUAUUUCAUCUUCAUUAAUCAAAUCAGACGUAUUAUUGUGACGAUUUCUUUAUGCACACUACGGUACACUGGGCUUCUUAUGAAGCUUGUACGUUGAAUUAUUAGCUGGACCAAAUCAAGACAUGAAUUCAGAUGAAAACAUUCUCAUUAAACACCAUGAUCAUCUACAGCGACAGGUUUGAAUAAAAGAAAAUACACCGUGA
Molecule: RNA transcript, 4849 nt
Organism: Ctenopharyngodon idella (grass carp)
Lineage: Eukaryota; Metazoa; Chordata; Actinopteri; Cypriniformes; Xenocyprididae
Gene: ablim1a
Gene name: actin binding LIM protein 1a
Exons: 22
Source: RefSeq, a predicted model, not a curated record